GAUGGAGCAACACCGCGUGAGUGAAGAAGGGUUUCGGCUCGUAAAGCUCUGUUGUUAGAGAAGAACGUGCGUGAGAGCAACUGUUCACGCAGUGACGGUAUCUAACCAGAAAGUCACGGCUAACUACGUGCCAGCAGCCGCGGUAAUACGUAGGUGGCAAGCGUUAUCCGGAUUUAUUGGGCGUAAAGCGAGCGCAGGCGGUUUGAUAAGUCUGAUGUGAAAGCCUUUGGCUUAACCAAAGAAGUGCAUCGGAAACUGUCAGACUUGAGUGCAGAAGAGGACAGUGGAACUCCAUGUGUAGCGGUGGAAUGCGUAGAUAUAUGGAAGAACACCAGUGGCGAAGGCGGCUGUCUGGUCUGCAACUGACGCUGAGGCUCGAAAGCAUGGGUAGCGAACAGGAUUAGAUACCCUGGUAGUCCAUGCCGUAAACGAUGAGUGCUAGGUGUUGGAGGGUUUCCGCCCUUCAGUGCCGCAGCUAACGCAUUAAGCACUCCGCCUGGGGAGUACGACCGCAAGGUUGAAACUCAAAGGAAUUGACGGGGGCCCGCACAGCGGUGGAGCAUGUGGUUUAAUUCGAAGCUACGCGAAGAACCUUACCAGGUCUUGACAUCUUGCGCCAACCCUAGAGAUAGGGCGUUUCCUUCGGGAACGCAAUGACAGGUGGUGCAUGGUCGUCGUCAGCUCGUGUCGUGAGAUGUUGGGUUAAGUCCCGCAACGA
RNAcentral lists this ribosomal RNA (718 nucleotides) under Limosilactobacillus mucosae. Its description in RNAcentral is "bacterial SSU rRNA". It matches the Rfam family "Bacterial small subunit ribosomal RNA", at positions 385 to 1095 of the family's 1533-position model. The record is from RNAcentral. Lineage: Bacteria; Bacillati; Bacillota; Bacilli; Lactobacillales; Lactobacillaceae.